UACGUAGGGUGCGAGCGUUAAUCGGAAUUACUGGGCGUAAAGCGUGCGCAGGCGGUUUUGUAAGCCAGAUGUGAAAGCCCCGGGCUUAACCUGGGAAUGGCAUUUGGGACUGCAAGGCUAGAGUGCGGCAGAGGAGACUGGAAUUCCUGGUGUAGCAGUGAAAUGCGUAGAUAUCGAGAGGAACACCGGUGGCGAAGGCGGCCAACUGGACAGAUACUGACGCUGAGACACGAAAGCGUGGGGAGCAAACAGG
This 253-nucleotide ribosomal RNA is filed under the name uncultured bacterium. RNAcentral describes it as "partial 16S ribosomal RNA". It matches the Rfam family "Bacterial small subunit ribosomal RNA", at positions 524 to 776 of the family's 1533-position model. The record is from RNAcentral.